Poecilia latipinna (sailfin molly) is the source of this 1929-nucleotide long non-coding RNA. RefSeq lists it as uncharacterized. The transcript is spliced from 2 exons. The record is from RefSeq and is a predicted model, not a curated record. NCBI's taxonomy places the organism in Eukaryota, Metazoa, Chordata, Actinopteri, Cyprinodontiformes, Poeciliidae.
AGUACGAAAGAUACAUUUUACAAGCUCACAAAAGUAGCAGAACAAGUUCCUUUUCUGGAUUUCUAAAGUUGUCUUCAUUGUAAAAUAAUCUGAUCGACCAUAUUUAUUAUCUUUUCGAAAGAAAUUUGAUAAGUGCAAGCUGGUAUAAAUAGCAAUCAGGUAAUAUGAACUUUGACAACGGGGAGUGAACUGUAAAAUUUAUCGUUUUAAACGUAAGCCUUCUCAUUUCUCUGGGACUUUUUUCAUUAGCUUGCCAGGAAAUCCUGUUUAGAUCAGACAUUUCUGAAUUUAUACAAGCAACAGCACAAACUAAGCUACUGAUAAAACAGAGUAGGUGUACUGUAUGAAGUGAACAAGUUGAAAAUAAAUGUGUCAUAAUCCACACAGGACAUUCACUACUUCAAUACCAGAGUAAUAAAAUGACUUUCUGGAGUUCUUGUUUCCAGUUUUCAAUUGUCAAAAGCAGAAGCUAAGAUAGAAAACUUUCCUUAAAGCCACGAGUGUCAUAAGAGCACAAAAAAGUUAGUAAUUAGUAAAAUUAAGAAAGGCAAAGGUCAUAGCUGAUAGGAAACAGUAUGACAUGGGAAACAUUACAGGCCACCUGCCUUUUCGCAGUUAGGACUUUUACUAAACCUCAAAAUGUUUUUUUUCUUCUGCAGCUGGUGGGCUUCAGAUUAAUGGUUCUCAAGGUCCAAUGUCCUUAACUUUUAGGCAUCUCUCUGCUCCAAAUUUCCUCUGCAUGCCAUCAAGUGCUGCAGAAGCCUGUCAAUCACCCAUUUAUUUCAGUCACCAGUCAGGCGUGUGGCAGCAGAAACCUCCUAAAUCAUGCAGGAUAAUGAAUCUUGAACCACUUUGGAUCAUUCUUCUGCUGCACGACUCAGUUGAAAUUAAGGUCAUGAAAUGGUCUCCAGGUAUUUUCCUUCAGUAGGGAGCAGAACUCUCAGGUCCAUUUAGGGCGAGUCAUGCAGCCCCAGACCAUCACAUUUGCACCACUUUUGACGUGAUGAUGUUCUUUUCUUUUUUCAGUUGUAUUCCAGAAGUAAUGGGAUUCGUAUCUUCCAAAAACGUCCACUUUUGGAAGUUGGGAUGUUUUCCCUAAGGUUUCUUCAUCAAGGGGGUUCUGAAAUAUGUGAAGCAUGUCUCUGUGAUCUUUUUGGUGAACAGUGGUUUUGGUGUUCUUAACUUUGAAUGGUGACCGUGUCACUGAGUUUGAGGUUCUGCAGCGUUUCUUGUUUGCUCCAUUCAUAAAUAAUGGCUCUCACUGAGGUUCGAUGGUAUGCCAAAUAGAUGAACCCUCCUCAGACGAACAGACGCCAACCACUUUGUUUUCAUUUGUUUUUGGAUUUUCGUAGAUGGGAUAAAUAUGUUCUGCUUUUUAAAAAAAAUAUAUUAUAACCUACUUCAUGCUGUCAGACAGGAUCUAUUGAAGAGAUUUCUUGUCUGAAUUAAAGCUUUUCAGAAAGUCCAUCUAAUCUUUGUUAAAUUAUAAAUUACCAAAAGAUUACUAUCACAACUUCACAUAGGAGUAGGUGGACGUGGAUAGUUUUCCUACAUAAUAAAUCAAUUUAUAAUUUUAAAAUUGCUGUUUGUAUGUACUGAGGCUAAGCUAAUUACUGAGACCUGAAAUCUUUUAAACAGAAACAAAAGUGAGCUGAGACCAACCUAGUUACUGUCAUUUGAUAGAGAAGUUGACACUGUGGGCAAAAGAGAAAAAAAGCUGCCGGAGUUGUUGCUCUCGCUUCUCACACCACCCUCUUUUACUUCAUGGUGCAGACGUGCUGCACUUGGGUUUAGAGAGGCAUAACCGAGGAAGGACGUCAUCUCCAGUUUUCAACGCAAGUUCUUAAGCUAUUGUCUAACGUGCUAAAACUAAAUAUUUACUUAUUUUACUCUGUUCAACCAACAGAACAUCAGAGAUAUAAAACAUAU